AACGAACGCUGGCGGCAGGCCUUAUACAUGCAAGUCGAGCGCAUCCUUCGGGAUGAGCGGCGGACGGGUGAGUAACGCGUGGGAAUGUGCCCUUCUCUACGGAAUAGCCACUGGAAACGGUGAGUAAUACCGUAUACGCCCUUAGGGGGAAAGAUUUAUCGGAGAAGGAUCAGCCCGCGUUAGAUUAGGUAGUUGGUGGGGUAACGGCCUACCAAGCCUACGAUCUAUAGCUGGUUUUAGAGGAUGAUCAGCAACACUGGGACCGAGACACGGCCCAGACUCCUACGGGAGGCAGCAGUGGGGAAUCUUGGACAAUGGGGGAAACCCUGAUCUAGCCAUGCCGCGUGUGUGAAGAAGGCCCUAGGGUCGUAAAGCACUUUCGCCAGAGAUGAUAAUGACAGUAUCUGGUAAAGAAACCCCGGCUAACUCCGUGCCAGCAGCCGCGGUAAUACGGAGGGGGUUAGCGUUGUUCGGAAUUACUGGGCGUAAAGCGCACGUAGGCGGAUUAGUAAGUUAGAGGUGAAAUCCCAGGGCUCAACCCUGGAACUGCCUUUAAUACUGCUAGUCUUGAGUUCGAGAGAGGUAAGUGGAAUUCCAAGUGUAGAGGUGAAAUUCGUAGAUAUUUGGAGGAACACCAGUGGCGAAGGCGGCUUACUGGCUCGAUACUGACGCUGAGGUGCGAAAGUGUGGGGAGCAAACAGGAUUAGAUACCCUGGUAGUCCACACCGUAAACGAUGAAUGCCAGACGUCAGCAAGUAUACUUGUUGGUGUCACGCCUAACGGAUUAAGCAUUCCGCCUGGGGAGUACGGUCGCAAGAUUA
RNAcentral lists this ribosomal RNA (821 nucleotides) under uncultured marine bacterium. RNAcentral's name for it is "bacterial SSU rRNA". It matches the Rfam family "Bacterial small subunit ribosomal RNA", at positions 28 to 896 of the family's 1533-position model. The record is from RNAcentral.